UGGUGGAGUGAUUUGUCUGGUUAAUUCCGUUAGCGAACGAGACCUGAACAUGCUAAAUAGUAACAGCUCAUUCCGGUUACGCUGACAACUUAUUACAGGGACUGUGUGUGUACCGCAAGGACGUUUGAGGCAAUAACA
RNAcentral lists this ribosomal RNA (138 nucleotides) under uncultured eukaryote. Its description in RNAcentral is "partial 18S ribosomal RNA". It matches the Rfam family "Eukaryotic small subunit ribosomal RNA", at positions 1299 to 1458 of the family's 1831-position model. The record is from RNAcentral.